ACUGCUCAGUAACACGUGGACAACCUGCCCUUAGGUUGGGUAUAAACCCGGGAAACUGGGUAUAAUACCCGAUAGGUCUCGAUUGCUGGAAUGCAUCGAGAUUUAAAGCUCCGGCGCCUAAGGAUGGGUCUGCGGCCUAUCAGGUAGUAGUGGGUGUAGCGUACCUACUAGCCUACGACGGGUACGGGUUGUGAGAGCAAGAGCCCGGAGAUGGAUUCUGAGACACGAAUCCAGGCCCUACGGGGUGCAGCAGGCGCGAAAACUUUACAAUGCUGGCAACAGCGAUAAGGGAACCUCGAGUGCCAGGUUACAAAUCUGGCUGUCGAGAUGCCUAAAAAGCACUUCAUAGCAAGGGCCGGGCAAGACCGGUGCCAGCCGCCGCGGUAACACCGGCGGCUCGAGUGGUAACCGUUAUUAUUGGGUCUAAAGGGUCUGUAGCCGGCCGGAUAAGUCUCUUGAGAAAUCUGGCAGCUUAACUGUCAGGCUUUCAGGAGAUACUGUCUGGCUCGAGGCCGGGAGAGGUGAGAGGUACUUCAGGGGUAGGGGUGAAAUCUUGUAAUCCUUGAAGGACCACCAGUGGCGAAGGCGCCUCACCAGAACGGACCUGACGGCAAGGGACGAAAGCUAGGGGCACGAACCGGAUUAGAUACCCGGGUAGUCCUAGCCGUAAACGAUACUCGCUAGGUGUCGGCCACGGUGCGACCGUUGUCGGUGCCGUAGGGAAGCCGUGAAGCGAGCCACCUGGGAAGUACGGCCGCAAGGCUGAAACUUAAAGGAAUUGGCGGGGGAGCAC
RNAcentral lists this ribosomal RNA (793 nucleotides) under uncultured archaeon. RNAcentral's name for it is "bacterial SSU rRNA". It matches the Rfam family "Archaeal small subunit ribosomal RNA", at positions 85 to 879 of the family's 1478-position model. The record is from RNAcentral.